Molecule: ribosomal RNA, 269 nt
Filed under: uncultured prokaryote
Description: partial 16S ribosomal RNA
Rfam family: Bacterial small subunit ribosomal RNA
Source: RNAcentral
UACGGAGGUGGCUAGCGUUGUUCGGAUUUACUGGGUGUAAAGGGCAUGUAGGUGGCUAGAUAAGUCCCAAUUGAAAUCCUUCGGCUCAACCGGAGAACUGGUUGGGAAACUAUCUGGCUUGAGGUUAGGAGAGGAGAAUGGAAUUCCCGGUGUAAAGGUGAAAUUUGUAGAGAUCGGGAGGAACACCAGUGGCGAAGGCGAUUCUCUGGCCUAAAACUGACACUGAAAUGCGAAAGCUAGGGGAGCAAACAGGAUUAGAUACCCCAGUA